AGAACGAACGCUGGCGGCAGGCUUAACACAUGCAAGUCGAACGCUCCUAGCAAUAGGGGAGUGGCAGACGGGUGAGUAACGCGUGGGAACAUACCCUCCGGUUCGGAAUAACUCAGGGAAACUUGAGCUAAUACCGGAUACGGCCUUUAGUCGAAGGAUUGGCGGCGAAAGAUUUAUCGCCGGAGGAUUGGCCCGCGUCCGAUUAGCUAGUUGGUGUGGUAAUGGCGCACCAAGGCGACGAUCGGUAGCUGGUCUGAGAGGAUGAUCAGCCACAUUGGGACUGAGACACGGCCCAAACUCCUACGGGAGGCAGCAGUGGGGAAUAUUGGACAAUGGGCGCAAGCCUGAUCCAGCCAUGCCGCGUGAGUGAUGACGGCCUUAGGGUUGUAAAGCUCUUUCGCUCGGGACGAUAAUGACGGUACCGAGAUAAGAAGCCCGGCUAACUUCGUGCCAGCAGCCGC
Molecule: ribosomal RNA, 461 nt
Filed under: uncultured bacterium
Lineage: Bacteria
Description: SSU rRNA
Rfam family: Bacterial small subunit ribosomal RNA
Source: RNAcentral